CCUACGGGCUGCAGCAGUGGGGAAUAUUGCACAAUGGGCGCAAGCCUGAUGCAGCCAUGCCGCGUGUAUGAAGAAGGCCUUCGGGUUGUAAAGUACUUUCAGCGGGGAGGAAGGCGAUAAGGUUAAUAGCCUUGUCGAUUGACGUUACCCGCAGAAGAAGCACCGGCUAACUCCGUGCCAGCAGCCGCGGUAAUACGGAGGGUGCAAGCGUUAAUCGGAAUUACUGGGCGUAAAGCGCACGCAGGCGGUCUGUCAAGUCGGAUGUGAAAUCCCCGGGCUCAACCUGGGAACUGCAUUCGAAACUGGCGGGCUGGAGUCUUGUAGAGGGGGGUAGAAUUCCAGGUGUAGCGGUGAAAAGCGUAGAGAUCUGGAGGAAUACCGGUGGCGAAGGCGGCCCCCUGGACAAAGACUGACGCUCAGGUGCGAAAGCGUGGGGAGCAAACAGGAUUAGAUACCCCAGUAGUC
RNAcentral lists this ribosomal RNA (465 nucleotides) under uncultured bacterium. RNAcentral describes it as "bacterial SSU rRNA". It matches the Rfam family "Bacterial small subunit ribosomal RNA", at positions 338 to 795 of the family's 1533-position model. The record is from RNAcentral.